GGACACCGGGGACACCCCCAGGACCCUACCGGGACCCCCACGGACUGAGAAAGUGGGGGAGAAGCUGUGGGGGGGAGAAAAUGGAGGGGGGGGGACACCCCGCCAUGGACUGAGGGGACCGACGGACUGAGGAGUCCCCGCACGGACUUUUUGAGGGGCUCCGGGGGGGUGCCCCGUUUUCUUUAAAGAAAAAAAAAAAAAAUAACCAAAAACCGAGAGAACUGAAAGGGGGGGGCCUCGGAUCGGUACCGGGGUGAGGACUGAUUGAUGGCCGGGGGGGGGGUCCCCGGUUUGGCCCCGUUGAGGCCUCGGCCCCGCCGCGGGCCCCGCGUCCGCCACAUUCCAAGGAGGCCCCAAGGACGAGUGCCAAGCUGCUGGAGCCCCGGCAGGAGGUGGGGACCUGUUCCGAGCCGUGCCGAGCCAAGAACACCCCGGUCCCUAUGGGGUCAGGGCAGGGCCUGGCACCCCGUGGCGGUGCCGUGGGGAGCGCAGCCACCCCAGGGGACCUGCGGUGGCACCGAGCCGAGGCUGCUGCCUGUUUGUGGGGAGGAAACGGCCCCAAAACCGGCUGUGCCGUGCCCCAGCCCUACAGCUCCGGCACGGGGCAGAGCCUACACGGCGCCACGGACGCCUCCCGCAGCGGGUACGGUGUCACCGGUGUCACCCACAUCCCCGUGCUUCGUGUCCCCGUGUCCCCACAUCCUCGUGUCCAUGAGUCCCUACAUCCCCAGAUCCCUGUGUCCCCAUGUCCCCACAUUGUUUGUCCCCAUGGCCCUGUGUCCUCAUAUCCCCAUCCUCCUGUGUCCCCAUAUCCCACAUCCCCAUGUCCCUGUGUCCCCACAUCCCCACAACCCCAUGGCCCUGUGUCCUCCGACCCCAUGCUCCUCAUGUCCCCAUGUCCCCACAUCCCCAUGUCCCCCAGUCACGUCCCCAAGCCCCCAUACUCCAGUGUCCCCGUGUCCCCACAUCCCCCUGCCCAUGUCCUCACACCCCAUGCUCCCCAGUCCCCAUGUCCCACAUCCUCGUGUCCCUAAAUCCCCAUGCUCCUGUGUCCCCAUGCCCUGCAUCCCCAUGUCCCCAUCAACCCCGUGUCCAUGUACCCACACCCCAUGUCCCCCAGCCAUGUCCCCACGCCCCCAUUCUCACAUGUCCCCAUGUCCCCAAAUCCCCCUGCCCGUGUCCCUACAACCCCAUGUCCCCCAGUCACCUCCCCAUGCCCCCAUUCUCCCCUGUCCCCACGUCCCCACAUGCUUGUGUCCCCA
RNAcentral lists this long non-coding RNA (1262 nucleotides) under Anas platyrhynchos (mallard). RNAcentral's name for it is "lncRNA (ENSAPLG00020014858.1)". Lineage: Eukaryota; Metazoa; Chordata; Aves; Anseriformes; Anatidae. The record is from RNAcentral.